This 257-nucleotide ribosomal RNA is filed under the name uncultured bacterium. RNAcentral's name for it is "partial 16S ribosomal RNA". It matches the Rfam family "Bacterial small subunit ribosomal RNA", at positions 524 to 777 of the family's 1533-position model. The record is from RNAcentral.
UACGGAGGGGGGCUAGCGUUGUUCGGAAUUACUGGGCGUAAAGCGCACGUAGGCGGCUUUGUAAGUUAGAGGUGAAAGCCCAGGGCUUAACCCUGGAAUUGCCUUUAAGACUGCAUCGCUAGAAUCGUGGAGAGGUGAGUGGAAUUCCGAGUGUAGAGGUGAAAUUCGUAGAUAUUCGGAAGAACACCAGUGGCGAAGGCGACUCACUGGACACGUAUUGACGCUGAGGUGCGAAAAGCGUGGGGGAGCAAACACGG